RNAcentral lists this ribosomal RNA (420 nucleotides) under Parvimonas micra. RNAcentral describes it as "bacterial SSU rRNA". It matches the Rfam family "Bacterial small subunit ribosomal RNA", at positions 68 to 496 of the family's 1533-position model. Lineage: Bacteria; Bacillati; Bacillota; Tissierellia; Tissierellales; Peptoniphilaceae. The record is from RNAcentral.
UUGUGGAAAUUCUUUCGGGAAUGGAAAUGAAAUGAAAGUGGCGAACGGGUGAGUAACACGUGAGCAACCUACCUUACACAGGGGGAUAGCCGUUGGAAACGACGAUUAAUACCGCAUGAGACCACAGAAUCGCAUGAUAUAGGGGUCAAAGAUUUAUCGGUGUAAGAAGGGCUCGCGUCUGAUUAGCUAGUUGGAAGGGUAAAGGCCUACCAAGGCGACGAUCAGUAGCCGGUCUGAGAGGAUGAACGGCCACAUUGGAACUGAGACACGGUCCAAACUCCUACGGGAGGCAGCAGUGGGGAAUAUUGCACAAUGGGGGGAACCCUGAUGCAGCGACGCCGCGUGAGCGAAGAAGGUUUUCGAAUCGUAAAGCUCUGUCCUAUGAGAAGAUAAUGACGGUAUCAUAGGAGGAAGCCCCGG